This 282-nucleotide ribosomal RNA is filed under the name uncultured Staphylococcus sp. Its description in RNAcentral is "partial 16S ribosomal RNA". It matches the Rfam family "Bacterial small subunit ribosomal RNA", at positions 81 to 354 of the family's 1533-position model. Lineage: Bacteria; Bacillati; Bacillota; Bacilli; Caryophanales; Staphylococcaceae. The record is from RNAcentral.
CUCCUUUGACGUUAGCGGCGGACGGGUGAGUAACACGUGGGUAACCUACCUAUAAGACUGGGAUAACUUCGGGAAACCGGAGCUAAUACCGGAUAAUAUUUCGAACCGCAUGGUUCGAUAGUGAAAGGUGGUUUUGCUAUCACUUAUAGAUGGACCCGCGCCGUAUUAGCUAGUUGGUAAGGUAACGGCUUACCAAGGCGACGAUACGUAGCCGACCUGAGAGGGUGAUCGGCCACACUGGAACUGAGACACGGUCCAGACUCCUAACGGGAGGCAGCAGGC